GUGCAGUGAUGCAUUUUGUCAACACAUCAUUCUGAAAAGACAGGUGUGUGGAAAAUUAAUUACUGAGCACA
This is a small nucleolar RNA of Hippopotamus amphibius kiboko, 71 nucleotides long. RefSeq annotates it as small nucleolar RNA SNORD63. Lineage: Eukaryota; Metazoa; Chordata; Mammalia; Artiodactyla; Hippopotamidae. The transcript has a single exon. The record is from RefSeq and is a predicted model, not a curated record.